ACAUGCAGAGAACUUUCCAGAGAUGGAUUGGUGCCUUCGGGAACGUCUGACACAGGUGCUGCAUGGCUGUCGUCAGCUCGUGUCGUGAGAUGUUGGGUUAAGUCCCGUAACGAGCGCAACCCCUGUCCUUAGUUACCAGCACGUUAUGGUGGGCACUCUAAGGAGACUGCCGGUGACAAACCGGAGGAAGGUGGGGAUGACGUCAAGUCCUCAUGGCCUUUAUGACCAGGGCUACACACGUACUACAAUGGCCGAUACAAAGGGCAGCGACACUGCGAGGUGAAGCCAAUCCCGUAAAAUCGGUCUCAGUCCGGAUUGGAGUCUGCAACUCGACUCCAUGAAGUUGGAAUCGCUAGUAAUCGUGGAUCAGCAUGCCACGGUGAAUACGUUCCCGGGCCUU
RNAcentral lists this ribosomal RNA (400 nucleotides) under uncultured Bacillus sp. RNAcentral's name for it is "bacterial SSU rRNA". It matches the Rfam family "Bacterial small subunit ribosomal RNA", at positions 984 to 1382 of the family's 1533-position model. The record is from RNAcentral. Lineage: Bacteria; Bacillati; Bacillota; Bacilli; Caryophanales; Bacillaceae.